AAGCCAGACUCCUACGGGAGGCAGCAGUGGGGAAUAUUGCACAAUGGGGGAAACCCUGAUGCAGCAACGCCGCGUGAGUGAAGAAGUAUUUCGGUAUGUAAAGCUCUAUCAGCAGGGAAGAAGAUGACGGUACCUGAUUAAGAAGCCCCGGCUAACUACGUGCCAGCAGCCGCGGUAAUACGUAGGGGGCAAGCGUUAUCCGGAUUUACUGGGUGUAAAGGGAGCGCAGACGGCAGUGCAAGUCUGGAGUGAAAGCCCGGGGCCCAACCCCGGAACUGCUCUGGAAACUGUGCGGCUAGAGUACUGGAGGGGCAGGCGGAAUUCCUAGUGUAGCGGUGAAAUGCGUAGAUAUUAGGAGGAACACCAGUGGCGAAGGCGGCCUGCUGGACCGCGACUGACGUUGAGGCUUGAAAGCGUGGGGAGCGAACAGGAUUAGAUACCCCAGUACA
RNAcentral lists this ribosomal RNA (449 nucleotides) under uncultured bacterium. RNAcentral describes it as "bacterial SSU rRNA". It matches the Rfam family "Bacterial small subunit ribosomal RNA", at positions 328 to 797 of the family's 1533-position model. The record is from RNAcentral.